AUAUAUAUACACUGUAUAAUAUAUAUAUAUAUUUGAUUUUUGAGGAUUCAACUCUCUGUUGUCGGUGAAAAAUCUUCUUUUGGAUUCAACCAGCAGACUGUCGAUGGCAUGAUUUUGCCUAAAAAAAUUUAAAGCAAAAUAAAUUGGUCCAUUCUGUUUCUACAGUCAAUUUUUGGGUGUCCUUUCAUGCGUGAGGUCCUUGCAGGUGUCCACAUGUAGUGUCAAGACACCUAGCCUACAUUCCUGUAUAUUCAUGUGUUUAGAGGCUUAAAACAUUGAUCUCACUUCUAGCAUGAUAUUAAAGCAUUGAUCUUUGGUUUUUAGGCACUCACUUUCUAAAGAUAUGUCUACUCCCCAGAUGGUCUUUCUUUUGUGGAGCAGUAAAGGUUGUUUUGCGAGUAUUUUCCCUGGAGAAUUGAAAUGAUGCCUUUGCAGCAAGAAGCAGAUAAUUAUGUACUUUCAUAAAAUUCAUUUUAUUAUUUUGGGCCACACAGCUGUGAUACAAAGUUUUGUACGCCUCGGGUUUCCCGACUUGUUUCUUUGCGGGUUAGCUUUCUUCAAGACAAAGUGUUCUAAAAGCCAUGCUUAGCACAGUGAAGGAGAGAAGCUCAGAAGCGGACGCUGUUUUUAUUGGUUCGGCUAUUGAAAUUCAUUCCUUUUGUGUGUCAAAUUGCUUCAAGAUUCAGCAGCCCAAAAAUUUCGCAAGCAAAUGAUUUUCAGGUUCGAAAUCCUUUUCAAAUUUUUCAAAAAAACCUCUUGCGUAUUUUGCAGGUUGCCUUCGUUUGACUUGUGAAGAUGUCCGAUGAUCAUCCCUAUCAUACGAGCUAGUUUAGGACAUGCUUGUUGGCACAAGGAGGGGAAGUGGGUAAAGGUAAAGUGUUAUGACACUUUUAUUUUAAGCCCACAAAACUGCAAAGAACAGUUAAUGGUAGAAAGAGUCAAAUGGUACUGUUAAGCAUCAUCAUCCUGAAAACUACUUUAAAUGCUGAGCCACUGCCUAAAAGUUGCAUUUUGUUCCUGGCUAGCAAAAUCUGAAGCUGUUUUGGCACAUCUUGGGUUCGACAUCAUGUCUCCAAAGAGCAACUCUUCUUAAAAGAUGCUGAGUUGGAAUCUUUUUCUAAGGAUUCUUGUGAUUCCAGAGAAAUCCUAUUCUAUUUGUUGUAGUGCUUUUCCUUUCUUUCUGGAUGAGAU
Molecule: long non-coding RNA, 1191 nt
Organism: Dioscorea cayenensis subsp. rotundata (Guinea yam)
Lineage: Eukaryota; Viridiplantae; Streptophyta; Magnoliopsida; Dioscoreales; Dioscoreaceae
Exons: 4
Source: RefSeq, a predicted model, not a curated record